CACUCGGUCCGACGUCGGUGGGUUAUCAAUGAAUCUGAACCCCUCCCAUCGGCACCAACUUGACCGUUGU
This is a non-coding RNA of Caenorhabditis japonica, 70 nucleotides long. Lineage: Eukaryota; Metazoa; Nematoda; Chromadorea; Rhabditida; Rhabditidae. The record is from Rfam.